This 73-nucleotide transfer RNA is filed under the name Caldilineae bacterium. Its description in RNAcentral is "tRNA-Lys". It matches the Rfam family "tRNA". Rfam says of the family: Transfer RNA (tRNA) molecules are approximately 80 nucleotides in length. Their secondary structure includes four short double-helical elements and three loops (D, anti-codon, and T loops). Lineage: Bacteria; Bacillati; Chloroflexota; Caldilineae. RNAcentral also lists the same sequence under 1 other name. The record is from RNAcentral.
GGGCCGGUAGCUCAGUUGGUAGAGCAGCGGACUUUUAAUCCGCGGGUCGGGGGUUCGAUCCCCUCCCGGCUCA